CCUACGGGUGGCUGCAGUGGGGAAUAUUGGGCAAUGGAGGAAACUCUGACCCAGCCACGUCGCGUGAAUGAUGAAGGCCCUCGGAUUGUAAAGUUCUUUUUUAAGGGAAGAAGAAAGUGACGGUACCUUAGUAAUAAGCCUCGGCUAACUACGUGCCAAGAGUCGCGGCAAUACGUGGGAGGCGAGCGUUAUCCGGAAUGACUGGGUGUACAGGGUGCGUAGGUGGUUUGGCAAGUUAGUAGAGUAACUCCCGGGCUCAACCGUGGAACUGCUACUAAUACUGUUAGACUUGAGUGCAGGCGGGGCAGGCGGAAUUCGUAGUGUAGCGGUGAAAUGCGUAGAUAUUAGGAAGAACACCGAUGGCGAAGGCAGGUUACUAGACUGUGACUGACACUGAGGCACGAGAGCGUGGGGAGCAAACAGGAUUAGAUACCCGUGUAGUC
Molecule: ribosomal RNA, 443 nt
Filed under: uncultured bacterium
Lineage: Bacteria
Description: partial 16S ribosomal RNA
Rfam family: Bacterial small subunit ribosomal RNA
Source: RNAcentral